GAUGAACGCUGGCGGCGUGCCUAAUACAUGCAAGUCGAGCGAACAGACGAGGAGCUUGCUCCUCUGACGUUAGCGGCGGACGGGGGAGUAACACGUGGAUAACCUACCUAUAAGACUGGGAUAACUUCGGGAAACCGGAGCUAAUACCGGAUAAUAUAUUGAACCGCAUGGUUCAAUAGUGAAAGACGGUUUUGCUGUCACUUAUAGAUGGAUCCGCGCCGCAUUAGCUAGUUGGUAAGGUAACGGCUUACCAAGGCAACGAUGCGUAGCCGACCUGAGAGGGUGAUCGGCCACACUGGAACUGAGACACGGUCCAGCCUCCUACGGGAGGCAGCAGUAGGGAAUCUUCCGCAAUGGGCGAAAGCAUGACGGAGCAACGCCGCGUGAGUGAUGAAGGUCUUCGGAUCGUAAAACUCUGUUAUUAGGGAAGAACAAAUGUGUAAGUAACUAUGCACGUCUUGACGGUACCUAAUCAGAAAGCCACGGCUAACUACGUG
This 497-nucleotide ribosomal RNA is filed under the name uncultured bacterium. Its description in RNAcentral is "partial 16S ribosomal RNA". It matches the Rfam family "Bacterial small subunit ribosomal RNA", at positions 28 to 507 of the family's 1533-position model. The record is from RNAcentral.